CUUGUUUCCUCUCCUUCCUUCCACAGGAGUUAUUUCCUAAUCAACGUCCUGCAUACCAAACUCUGUCUUUAUCAUCUGCUUCCGAACAACCCAACCUGAGACAUGAGUUCAUCCUGGCUGCCACAAGCAGGCUAACUGACCACAGCAACUGCUGGGAAGUUUGGAAGCUCUUCAUCUUCACCAAGUGGAGCCUUAUCCUGGCUGCCUAAGGCAGAUCUAUCUUCCUGCCUCACUUCCACCUCUGCUCCCAUGGAUUUCCCGAUUGCACACCGUCAAGGAAGCGCCCUUCCA
RNAcentral lists this long non-coding RNA (291 nucleotides) under Ictidomys tridecemlineatus (thirteen-lined ground squirrel). RNAcentral describes it as "lncRNA (ENSSTOG00000031803.1)". The record is from RNAcentral. Lineage: Eukaryota; Metazoa; Chordata; Mammalia; Rodentia; Sciuridae.